Molecule: unclassified non-coding RNA, 168 nt
Filed under: plant metagenome
Description: partial contains small subunit ribosomal RNA and internal transcribed spacer 1
Rfam family: Eukaryotic small subunit ribosomal RNA (bases 1-46)
Source: RNAcentral
AAGUCGUAACAAGGUUUCCGUAGGUGAACCUGCGGAAGGAUCAUUAGUGCUUUGGCCUCCGGGCCUUCAAUCCCCAUCCUCAUACCUCUGUGAACCAGUUGGGCCCCGGCCGUCACCCUUUCAAACACUGUGUAACGAACGUCAAUGUAUAUUAUAAACCUAAUAAAA